This 253-nucleotide ribosomal RNA is filed under the name uncultured bacterium. RNAcentral describes it as "partial 16S ribosomal RNA". It matches the Rfam family "Bacterial small subunit ribosomal RNA", at positions 524 to 776 of the family's 1533-position model. The record is from RNAcentral.
UACGUAGGUGGCAAGCGUUGUCCGGAUUUAUUGGGUUUAAAGGGUGCGUAGGCGGCCAAUUAAGUCAGUGCUGAAAUACUCUAGCUUAACUAGAGGGGUGGCAUUGAUACUGAUUGGCUUGAGUGAAGUCGAAGUAGGCGGAAUUGACGGUGUAGCGGUGAAAUGCUUAGAUAUCGUCAAGAACACCGAUAGUGAAGACAGCUUACUAGACUUCAACUGACGCUGAGGCACGAAAGUGUGGGGAUCAAACAGG